This 379-nucleotide ribosomal RNA is filed under the name uncultured cyanobacterium. Its description in RNAcentral is "bacterial SSU rRNA". It matches the Rfam family "Bacterial small subunit ribosomal RNA", at positions 376 to 770 of the family's 1533-position model. The record is from RNAcentral. Lineage: Bacteria; Bacillati; Cyanobacteriota.
CGAAAGCCUGACGGAGCAACGCCGCGUGUGGGAAGAAGGCUCUUGGGCUGUCAACCACUUUUCUCAGGGAAGAAGUCCUGACGGUACCUGAGGAAUCAGCCUCGGCUAACUCCGUGCCAGCAGCCGCGGUAAUACGGAGGAGGCAAGCGUUAUCCGGAAUUAUUGGGCGUAAAGCGUCCGCAGGGGGCGCAUCAAGUCUGCUGUUAAAGGUCGGAGCUAAACUCCGGUAGAGCAGUGGAAACUGGUGCGCUAGAGGGCGGCAGGGGCAGAAGGAAUUCCCGGUGUAGCGGUGAAAUGCGUAGAUAUCGGGAAGAACACCAGAGGCGAAAGCGCUCUACUGGGUCGCACCUGACCCUCAGGGACGAAAGCUAAGGUAGCG